Molecule: ribosomal RNA, 254 nt
Filed under: uncultured bacterium
Lineage: Bacteria
Description: partial 16S ribosomal RNA
Rfam family: Bacterial small subunit ribosomal RNA
Source: RNAcentral
CACGUAGGGUGCGAGCGUUGUCCGGAAUUAUUGGGCGUAAAGAGCUCGUAGGCGGUGUGUCGCGUCGGCCGUGAAAACCUGCAGCUUAACUGUGGGCUUGCGGUCGAUACGGGCAUUACUGGAGUUCGGCAGGGGAGACUGGAAUUCCUGGUGUAGCGGUGGAAUGCGCAGAUAUCAGGAGGAACACCGGUGGCGAAGGCGGGUCUCUGGGCAGUAACUGACGCUGAGGAGCGAAAGCGUGGGGAGCGAACAGG